This 22-nucleotide unclassified non-coding RNA is filed under the name Mus musculus (house mouse). Its description in RNAcentral is "oocyte_clustered_small_RNA595". Lineage: Eukaryota; Metazoa; Chordata; Mammalia; Rodentia; Muridae. The record is from RNAcentral.
AACGAUAGAUGCGAGCAUCAGC